This is a long non-coding RNA of Homo sapiens (human), 2817 nucleotides long. Ensembl annotates it as PRR34 long non-coding RNA. Its record names the gene PRR34. Lineage: Eukaryota; Metazoa; Chordata; Mammalia; Primates; Hominidae. The record is from Ensembl.
ACACGCGUCCUCCCCUCGGCGGGGAGGCCGGCUAGGGGCAGGCGGGCAGCGAUGCCUGCGUCGGCCACAGCUGCCUGGCACUGCCCUCCUUUGUGCCUGCCUCCUCUGCCAGCCUCCGCUCCAACCUCCCCCCCCAACCCCGCAACGAGGCCUGCUCCUGGGCCCGGCCGCAGGGCCCGUUGCCCACAGAGCGCCCACCCUGCGCCCACCCGGGGUGCCCUCACCUUCUGGGCCCCUGGCUCCUGGCCUCGGGUCCUGCUGGUGCCCAGGUCGCCCGGCCCCGUCCUCCGUGCUCCGCGUUUGCCCCACCCUGCUGCCCGAGCUCGGCGGCGAGCCUGGCACGGUGCCAGGCUGCCUGGGAGCCCAGCCCGGGCAGGGCGAACUUUCCAGCGAGGGUUGGUCUCAAACUCCUGGGCUCAUGCAAUCUUCCUGCCUCGGCCUCCCAAUGUGCUGGAAUUACAGGUAUGAGCUACCGCGCUCAGCCCAAACCCAGGGCUCUUAACCACCCUACUAUGUACUGUGCUGGCCCCCGGUCAAGGGAGAGAACUCACGUCAGGCAAAAAUGUUUUACAGAGAGGCAGCUAAGUCUUUUCCACAGUGGAUGACACAGUCCCCCUCACAAACCACCCCACAGAUCCAACCCCAAGGAACUCUGCUUCUACGUGUGCCCUUGGGGCAAGGGAUGCAAAGCACCAGGCGAUGGAGCUCAGAGGAUGGCACUCUUCCAGAGAGCUGUGUGUCUCUGGGAAAGCUAACACACCUCUCUGAGCCUGUUGCUACAGCUUUACCAUCAGCGAUGUGACUGCAAGCCUUCUCAGCUGCCUGUCAGCAGAUGCACAGGCCUGUGCACAGAGCUCUGCGGAGACCACGCCGACAUCGCCGCACACCCACCCUCCUGCUCAUGGGACAGACCAUUCACACCUGCUUCACCACCAGCCACAGGCUUGUCGGAAGGAGCAGACUCUUCUCCACGGACAAGCCACUGCCCCUUUGAGGGCCUCAGCUUCCUUACCCUAUGAGAUGAGGAAACAGAUCUUCACUUGCCACAGGACUUGGGGGGAUGAAAAGGUAACCUCCGUAAAGCUGCCCCUGGUGUGGGGAAGCCACCCCAUAGAUGACAUUGCCCGCCCUCCCCCUAGGCCCAGAGCUCUACAGAGUCCUCAAGCUGGUGUCCCUCCAGGCUAAAACACUUCCACCCCCUGGGCAGUGCACUACAGGGUGGUGGGGAAGGGGCCAUCUGUGGAAGAAACACAGGGCCUGGCCUGGGGUCCUGGGCAAGACCUCUGUGACCUCAGUUUCCCCAGAUCCCUCCAGGUGUGACCUUGUAGAUGGCCUCUAUUCUGGAUUCACAGCUGCUGAGGAGGAGGAAGAGGACACUGAAGGCAUUCCUUCAGUCCCCUGGGGAGGUUCAGAUGCUCAGACUCCCUGAUACCACCUUUCCUGGGCAGAAUAAAGUCCCCAAGAUGUCCAAGCCCUAAUCCCUGGAGCCUGGGAAAGUGUUACCUCCCAGACCAAAGGGACUUUGUAGGUGUGUGAUUGAGUUGAAGAUCUGCAGUGAGAGGGUAGCCUGGAUUAGCCACGUGUGCCCAAAAGCAGAGACUCCUUCCCAGCCGUGGUCAGAGACAGAACAAGGGGACGCUGCUGGCUUUAAAGACGGAAGAAGGGACGAGGAGCCAAGGAGUGCAAGUGCCGCCAGAGGCCAGAAAAGGCAAGGGAUGGAUUUUUCCCCUGGAGUUCCAGGAGGAACCAGCCCUGCCAACACCUGGAUUUUAGUUCUGGGACCCCACCUCAGACAUCUGACCCCCUUGACUGUAAGGUAAUAAAUGUGCGUUGCUUAAGCCACUGAGUCAGCCAUAAGUUGUUACAUGGCUGCCACAGGAAACUAACAGGCCCUCCCCUCUGGCCCCAACAUGCCCAGCUGCCUGUGAAGGGGAAGAAGGAUGGCACAAGGCACGGCCCUCAUCGAUGUGUUCACACACCUUGCUCCCCUACUGAGCUGGCCCUGGGGCUGCAGACCUGAUCCCUGCUCUCAGGAGCCUUCGCCAGCUGAGAGACGCCCGCAGAGCCUCCCCUCCACUGCGGAGGCUCGAACCUUCCCUCCUGCUGCUGCUGCCCCAUCCUCUCCUCUUCCUCCUGCUGCUGUUUGUUGAGUGCUCCCUGUGAGUAGGCACCAGGCUAGUGUCCUCCUCCCAACCCCAGCCUCAUAGGCUCAGCGGUCAGGCCACCCGAGCAGUCACAUUGUAGACCCCUGAAUCCUGCCCAUGGUUUGGCAGGACAAAGGGCCUUUUCUGCUUCAGAGUCACAAAUGUGUCCUCCUCACAAUAAGGGUGGCAUGGAGGUCCCUGGGCCAGUGCCUCAGCCUAUUGAGCCUGGGGUCCUUGUCUGUACAGGGGGAUGAAGGUAGCACCUCACAGAUGGCGAUAAACCCAGCCAGUGCAGGGCAGGCAGUCAGCGCUCCAAACUCGCUUCAAGUCUUUGCCUAUGCUGCCAAUCAAGUCAGCUGUGGGAAGAGUCAGGUUUUUCUCUUGAAAGUCAGGGCCGGGCACGGUGGCUCAUGCCUGUAAUCCCAGCACUUUGGGAGGCUGAGGUGGGUAGAUCACAAGGUCAGGAGACCGAGACCAUCCUGGCUAACACAGUGAAACCCUGUCUCUACUAAAAAUACAAAAAAUUAGCCGGGCAUGGUGGCACGCACCUGUAGUCCCACCUACUUGGGAGGCUGAGGCAGGAGAAUCACUUGAACCUGGGAGGCAGAGGUUUGCAGUGAACCGAGAUCACGCCACUGCACUCCAGCCCUGGACGACAGUGAGACUCUAUCUC